AAAUUUCACGAUGAGGAUACAAAGCUCCCUCUUCUGAUUUCAUGUUGAGGAUAUUUGCAGGCAGAAUCGAACCUUAAUUUAUCUAGCCACCACUGAGUGA
Molecule: small nucleolar RNA, 100 nt
Organism: Lathyrus oleraceus (garden pea)
Lineage: Eukaryota; Viridiplantae; Streptophyta; Magnoliopsida; Fabales; Fabaceae
Product: small nucleolar RNA R30/Z108
Exons: 1
Source: RefSeq, a predicted model, not a curated record